This 380-nucleotide ribosomal RNA is filed under the name Ruegeria sp. Its description in RNAcentral is "bacterial SSU rRNA". It matches the Rfam family "Bacterial small subunit ribosomal RNA", at positions 953 to 1354 of the family's 1533-position model. Lineage: Bacteria; Pseudomonadati; Pseudomonadota; Alphaproteobacteria; Rhodobacterales; Roseobacteraceae. The record is from RNAcentral.
GAAGCAACGCGCAGAACCUUACCAACCCUUGACAUCCCGGGACCGGUCCAGAGAUGGAUCUUUCACUUCGGUGACUCGGUGACAGGUGCUGCAUGGCUGUCGUCAGCUCGUGUCGUGAGAUGUUCGGUUAAGUCCGGCAACGAGCGCAACCCACAUCCUUAGUUGCCAGCAGUUCGGCUGGGCACUCUAGGGAAACUGCCCGUGAUAAGCGGGAGGAAGGUGUGGAUGACGUCAAGUCCUCAUGGCCCUUACGGGUUGGGCUACACACGUGCUACAAUGGCAGUGACAAUGGGUUAAUCCCAAAAAACUGUCUCAGUUCGGAUUGGGGUCUGCAACUCGACCCCAUGAAGUCGGAAUCGCUAGUAAUCGCGUAACAGGCA